AAUAGAUACCCAGGUAGNUCCCGAACGCCGUAAACGAUGAGUGCUAAGUGUUAGAGGGUUUCCGCCCUUUAGUGCUGCAGCUAACGCAUUAAGCACUCCGCCUGGGGAGUACGGUCGCAAGACUGAAACUCAAAGGAAUUGACGGGGGCCCGCACAGGCGGUGGAGCAUGUGGUUUAAUUCGAAGCAACGCGAAGAACCUUACCAGGUCUUGACAUCCCACUGACCGGUAUAGAGAUAUACCUUUCCCUUCGGGGACAGUGGUGACAGGUGGUGCAUGGUUGUCGUCAGCUCGUGUCGUGAGAUGUUGGGUUAAGUCCCGCAACGAGCGCAACCCUUGAUCUUAGUUGCCAGCAUUUAGUUGGGCACUCUAAGGUGACUGCCGGUGACAAACCGGAGGAAGGUGGGGAUGACGUCAAAUCAUCAUGCCCCUUAUGACCUGGGCUACACACGUGCUACAAUGGAUGGUACAAAGGG
This 475-nucleotide ribosomal RNA is filed under the name uncultured bacterium. RNAcentral's name for it is "bacterial SSU rRNA". It matches the Rfam family "Bacterial small subunit ribosomal RNA", at positions 777 to 1246 of the family's 1533-position model. The record is from RNAcentral.